GGCAUGGUAGCCAAGUGGUAAGGUGUUAGUCUUGUAAACUAAAAAUCAUGGGUUCAACCCCCAUCCGUGCCU
Molecule: non-coding RNA, 72 nt
Organism: Anarrhichthys ocellatus (wolf-eel)
Lineage: Eukaryota; Metazoa; Chordata; Actinopteri; Perciformes; Anarhichadidae
Source: the annotation of a RefSeq genome assembly